RNAcentral lists this unclassified non-coding RNA (285 nucleotides) under uncultured fungus. RNAcentral describes it as "partial contains 5.8S ribosomal RNA, internal transcribed spacer 2, and large subunit ribosomal RNA". The record is from RNAcentral. Lineage: Eukaryota; Fungi.
AACGCACAUUGCGCCCGGCAGCAAUCUGCCGGGCAUGCCUGUCCGAGCGUCAUUUCUUCCCUCGAGCGCGGCUAGCCCUACGGGGCCUGCCGUCGCCCGGUGUUGGGGCUCUACGGGUGGGGCUCGUCCCCCCCGCAGUCCCCGAAAUGUAGUGGCGGUCCAGCCGCGGCGCCCCCUGCGUAGUAGAUCCUACAUCUCGCAUCGGGUCCCGGCGAAGGCCAGCCGUCGAACCUUUUUAUUUCAUGGUUUGACCUCGGAUCAGGUAGGGUUACCCGCUGAACUUAA